This 464-nucleotide ribosomal RNA is filed under the name uncultured bacterium. Its description in RNAcentral is "partial 16S ribosomal RNA". It matches the Rfam family "Bacterial small subunit ribosomal RNA", at positions 338 to 794 of the family's 1533-position model. The record is from RNAcentral.
CCUACGGGAGGCAGCAGUAGGGAAUCUUCGUCAAUGGGCGCAAGCCUGAACGAGCAAUGCCGCGUGAACGAGGAAGGUCUUCGGAUCGUAAAGUUCUGUUGAAGGGGAAAAAGAGCGGAGAGAGGAAAUGAACUCCGAUUGAUAUUACCCUUCGAGGAAGUCACGGCUAACUACGUGCCAGCAGCCGCGGUAAUACGUAGGUGGCGAGCGUUAUCCGGAAUGAUUGGGCGUAAAGGGUGCGUAGGCGGCCUGCUAAGUCUGGAGUGAAAGGUACCGGCUCAACCGGUACAGGCUCUGGAAACUGGCGGGCUAGAGAGCAGGAGAGGGCGGUGGAACUCCAUGUGUAGCGGUAAAAUGCGUAGAUAUAUGGAAGAACACCAGUGGCGAAGGCGGCCGCCUGGCCUGUUGACUGACGCUGAGGCACGAAAGCGUGGGGAGCAAAUAGGAUUAGAUACCCGGGUAUC